UUUAUGGAGAGUUUGAUCCUGGCUCAGGAUGAACGCUGGCGGCGUGCCUAAUACAUGCAAGUCGAGCGAACGGACGAGAAGCUUGCUUCUCUGAUGUUAGCGGCGGACGGGUGAGUAACACGUGGAUAACCUACCUAUAAGACUGGGAUAACUUCGGGAAACCGGAGCUAAUACCGGAUAAUAUUUUGAACCGCAUGGUUCAAAAGUGAAAGACGGUCUUGCUGUCACUUAUAGAUGGAUCCGCGCUGCAUUAGCUAGUUGGUAAGGUAACGGCUUACCAAGGCAACGAUGCAUAGCCGACCUGAGAGGGUGAUCGGCCACACUGGAACUGAGACACGGUCCAGACUCCUACGGGAGGCAGCAGUAGGGAAUCUUCCGCAAUGGGCGAAAGCCUGACGGAGCAACGCCGCGUGAGUGAUGAAGGUCUUCGGAUCGUAAAACUCUGUUAUUAGGGAAGAACAUAUGUGUAAGUAACUGUGCACAUCUUGACGGUACCUAAUCAGAAAGCCACGGCUAACUACGUGCCAGCGUACCGCGGUAAUACGUAGGUGGCAAGCGUUAUCCGGAAUUAUUGGGCGUAAAGCGCGCGUAGGCGGUUUUUUAAGUCUGAUGUGAAAGCCCACGGCUCAACCGUGGAGGGUCAUUGGAAACUGGAAAACUUGAGUGCAGAAGAGGAAAGUGGAAUUCCAUGUGUAGCGGUGAAAUGCGCAGAGAUAUGGAGGAACACCAGUGGCGAAGGCGACUUUCUGGUCUGUAACUGACGCUGAUGUGCGAAAGCGUGGGGAUCAAACAGGAUUAGAUACCCUGGUAGUCCACGCCGUAAACGAUGAGUGCUAAGUGUUAGGGGGUUUCCGCCCCUUAGUCUUUGCAGCCUAACGCAUUAAGCACUCCGCCUGGGGAGUACGACCGCAAGGUUGAAACUCAAAGGAAUUGACGGGGACCCGCACAAGCGGUGGAGCAUGUGGUUUAAUUCGAAGCAACGCGAAGAACCUUACCAAAUCUUGACAUCCUUUGACAACUCUAGAGAUAGAGCUUUCCCCUUCGGGGGACAAAGUGACAGGUGGUGCAUGGUUGUCGUCAGCUCGUGUCGUGAGAUGUUGGGUUAAGUCCCGCAACGAGCGCAACCCUUAAGCUUAGUUGCCAUCAUUAAGUUGGGCACUCUAAGUUGACUGCCGGUGACAAACCGGAGGAAGGUGGGGAUGACGUCAAAUCAUCAUGCCCCUUAUGAUUUGGGCUACACACGUGCUACAAUGGACAAUACAAAGGGGGCGCGAAACCGCGAGGUCAAGCAAAUCCCAUAAAGUUGUUCUCAGUUCGGAUUGUAGUCUGCAACUCGACUACAUGAAGCUGGAAUCGCUAGUAAUCGUAGAUCAGCAUGCUACGGUGAAUACGUUCCCGGGUCUUGUACACACCGCCCGUCACACCACGAGAGUUUGUAACACCCGAAGCCGGUGGAGUAACCUUUUAGGAGCUAGCCGUCGAAGGUGGGACAAAUGAUUGGGGUGAAGUCGUAACAAGGUAGCCGUAUCGGAAGGUGCGGCUGGAUCACCUCCUUU
Molecule: ribosomal RNA, 1556 nt
Filed under: Staphylococcus aureus
Lineage: Bacteria; Bacillati; Bacillota; Bacilli; Caryophanales; Staphylococcaceae
Description: 16S ribosomal RNA
Rfam family: Bacterial small subunit ribosomal RNA
Source: RNAcentral